Molecule: long non-coding RNA, 2017 nt
Organism: Apis cerana (Asiatic honeybee)
Lineage: Eukaryota; Metazoa; Arthropoda; Insecta; Hymenoptera; Apidae
Source: RefSeq, a predicted model, not a curated record
AUAUGAAAAUCUCUAGGGCGCCAAUUUACCAGCAGGGAAUCUCAACGUAAUACCACCUUUCUCUCUAGUUCCACCAAUGGUGUUAAAUUCACGAUAAACAAUUUCCAAUAAGCAUCUCUUCCGAUAAAAUUCUUUCAAAAUUUCUACGAAACUUAAACAAUUGACAAACUUCAAUUAAUUAUUUCCACUUGUCAUUUAAAUAACUAAAUAACGCUUUUAAAUUUAAUUAUAUUUAUAUAUAAGACACUUGAUCGUAUCACGUGAUAGACAGAUUAAUUUCUGACAGUAACGUCGCGAUUCAUCGUCGUUCAAAAGUGCGAGCAAAUAGGCGGAAGAUAACGAUAACGUCCACGCCAAUAACGACGGUCAGCUAUGAUUAUUAAUCAUGUGCAGGUUGCGCGUGCGAAUGUCAGCGGUGCGUGGGGAGUCUGACUAAUCGUUCCGCCAUUGCGGAAUAAUAUACCCAUGGCAGUCGAGGCUCGUUUUGCUGCUGUGUUUCUAUAGUUUAGACGUUACACUAUACUUGUAGUUUGUUUUGCGCGAUAAUAACAAUUUCGACUGCAAACACGAUAUUCGGAAAGUUUUAUUUUAUUCUUAUCUGUUUUCAUAGAUUAUCGCUUUCAAUAGUGUUAUCGAAAGAAGAGAAUGUAUCGUAAUUUUGGAUAUAUAGAAAUAAUAAUGGAAAAUAAUUAAAAUAUAUUUAUUCAUAUUUCAAUGAUAUGCAGGUAUGCAAUAGCACAGAAAAUCAUUUGUUUUUUUUGAUGUUUUAAAAUUAUGACGUGAAUAUUUCUUGUGUUAUGUUUAAUUGAAAAGCAUAAGCAUGAGAAACAUGAUUAAUAGAGUUGAAAGUAAUAUUGUAAUCCACAGAGAAUAUACGAUAGAAUACGAAGAAUAUUAGUUACUUUCUUCCUCUGUUAUCAGGUUUACUGUUGGAAAUUUCUUCUUCUGCCGGCCUGUUUCUACUUGUGCGAAAAAACAAGAUGAGCAGCAUCUUCCGGCCAGGAUAUUUUGCGGGAAAAUACGAAAUCCUCUAGUAAACCAAGGGAAUCCUACCGGCUGGUGGCUUUAUCCUGGAACGGUCCCGCGCUAAUGCAGCAAUAAACAUGCAUCUAUCUGAAGCAGAAUCGAGUCGCGGCUUCGCCAGACAAGAGAACAAGGGGAGGAGAAUAAUAUGCAUCAACGUGAAAGAAGCGCAACCGUGAAACUUUUUAAGUUGAAAUGUAAAUAUCGAAGUUUGUAACACAAUUAUUUAGACAGGAAUAAGUGAGUUAUUUAAAAAUUUUUCUUCGGAUUAUACACCACUACGUUAAUCUAUUUUUGAGUCGGUGAAAUAAAAAGGAAAGGAAAAAAGGAAGUGAGUUUUGCAAAAGUUGGAAAUAUAUAAAUUGAUAUAGUUGUAACUUCGAUAAUUUUAAUCGAUAAAUUGUUUCGUAAAGAGAAAUUGCAACGUUCAAAACUUUUCUUCCAGAAGACAGAAUGUUUUAUAAGUAAUAUUCACAUAUGAAUAUUGUAUUUGCUUAAAAUUUUCUUUGAAAACAACGAUAAUAUAUUGUGAAUAACUUGGAAUGAAAUAAUAUUGAUUUUAUAAAGUGAAAUUAUUUACAUAUUUGUUAUAAUAACUCAUAAAUUAUAUUUUAUUAGAAAAAAUAUUUUCGAAUAAUUUAGAAUUAAAAUAUCAAAAUAGUAAAUUGAAAGUUCACAAUUUGGAAUUAUUUAUAGAAUUUUUACAUGUUACAUUUAAAAUGUAAUUCAAAAACAGAAAUUUUUGACUUAUAUCAACAAGUGAAAUAUUCUAUAAAUUUAUAUAGCAAAAAUUACAAAAUAAUUUAUAAUAAAUCAGAGUAACAUUUCAAUAAAAAGAAUUUAUAUUUGAGAAAAAUAAUUAUUUUAAGAUGCAUUAUCCAUUGAUGUAUCCAAAAAACAAUUACGAUGGAAAAAUCGAUUAAAUGAUCAUUACUUUUGUAAAAAAAUCUAAUUACUUUAGAACUAUAUAAGAGUAAAUGACUUUUCGCAUGAA